Daphnia pulex (common water flea) is the source of this 1041-nucleotide long non-coding RNA. RefSeq lists it as uncharacterized. Lineage: Eukaryota; Metazoa; Arthropoda; Branchiopoda; Diplostraca; Daphniidae. The record is from RefSeq and is a predicted model, not a curated record. The transcript has 4 exons.
AAGGCACAGGCAGUGACUUCAAAAACAAAAGACUGCUGUGAGGCGCGAUCCUUUUCCAGUGUCCCCCUAGCGGCAGGGGCCAAUAGCAUUUUUGGCUAUUGGCCCCCGAAAUCCGGGGGCCAAUAGAUUUUUCCUAAAACUUUCGAAGGAAUUGCUAUACGCAGCUUGAAGAAUAUCAAAGGGAGAAACAACGAAUAAUCGAUCAACGAGUAAGAAUAAGCCAGGGGAAAUCUAGUGCUAGGCUUGCUGUUCAACCUGAGCUGGCCCAGGAGCGAGAGUUGUCAAGAGAUGCUCAAAAGAAGUAUCCAUCUUGAUAUGGUCCAUACCAAGUACUUGGAACGGAAGACCCAAAAUCCCAAGAAGUAAGACAGUGGAAAUCCUAGCAAUCAGACUAAGCGAUUAAAUAGUCUUCAUGACAAGCAUGUGCUGGUGUCAUUGAAUAAUCAUUGCCAUUCCAUUGUCUUAUUUUUGAUUUGUGUGAAAACCAAACAGUUUUCGUGCAGUUUCAAAUGGUGUAAGUUUUUCAAUGAAAGUGCUGUAAUCUCAGAUAUCCAAAGAAGGCGCGUAUUGACAAGAUAAAUUUGAUCGUCUCAAUGAGAAGAGUGUUAUCGUGACAAAACCAGAUUUAGAUAGUGGUGUAUUCCCGUGACACACACUUGGUUCAGUUCCUUUGAUCGAACAAUGCAUGGUCAUUGAUGCACAGAUGUUAAGUCUACGAUAUAAUUAAGCAAUUGUUCAAAAACCAGAACGAUAUGACCAUAUUUGUUUGCUUCUUCGCCCGCUGAAUCUCCGUUCGCAGAAGGUGAAGAUUUCAUCGAUGAGUUUUACGGAAAAAGGAAGAAGAACUAUUGGACGAAUUGGUGAUGGGCGUAGAGGAGUUUGAAGAAGAAGGAGACUUCGGAUAUGCCACUUAAGCAACUGAAGAUUGCGAUUCGGACGCCUUACACGAGCUCACGUCUACUUCAUCACCAAAUUACUAAAUUUUCUUUUGGAAGUCUGUAUUGAAUAAACCAAUCUAUUACAUACACAUAUUUAGCUGAA